GUGGGGAAUAUUGGACAAUGGGCGCAAGCCUGAUCCAGCCAUGCCGCGUGAGUGAUGAAGGCCUUAGGGUUGUAAAGCUCUUUCAGUGGGGACGAUACUGACGGUACCCACAGAAGCAGCCCCGGCUAACUUCGUGCCAGCAGCCGCGGUCAUACGAAGGGGGCUAGCGUUGUUCGGAUUUACUGGGCGUAAAGCGCACGUAGGCGGAUCGUUAAGUCGGGGGUGAAAUCCUGGAGCUCAACUCAAGAACUGCCUUCGAUACUGGCGAUCUUGAGUCCGGAAGAGGUGAGUGGAACGCCUAGGGUAGAGGUGGAAUUCAUAGAUAUUAGGAAGAACACCAGUGGCGAAGGCGGCUCACUGGUCCGGUACGGACGCUGAGGUGCGAAAGCGUGGGGAGCAAACAGGAUUAGAAACCCUUGUAGUCC
Molecule: ribosomal RNA, 425 nt
Filed under: uncultured bacterium
Lineage: Bacteria
Description: partial 16S ribosomal RNA
Rfam family: Bacterial small subunit ribosomal RNA
Source: RNAcentral